This 844-nucleotide ribosomal RNA is filed under the name uncultured bacterium. Its description in RNAcentral is "bacterial SSU rRNA". It matches the Rfam family "Bacterial small subunit ribosomal RNA", at positions 46 to 886 of the family's 1533-position model. The record is from RNAcentral.
GCCUAACACAUGCAAGUCGAACGGUAACAGUCCUUCGGGAGCUGACGAGUGGCGCACGGGUGAGUAACGCGUGGAUAUCUGCCUAUGAGUGGGGGACAACUUUCGGAAACGGAAGCUAAUACCGCAUACACUUUACGGAGUAAAGCAGGGGACCUUCGGGCCUUGUGCUCAUAGAUGAGUCCGCGUCAGAUUAGCUAGUUGGUAGGGUAAAAGCCUACCAAGGCGAUGAUCUGUAACUGGUUUGAGAGGAUGAUCAGUCACACUGGAACUGAGACACGGUCCAGACUUCUACGGAAGGCAGCAGUGGGGAAUUUUGCACAAUGGGCGCAAGCCUGAUGCAGCGAUGCCGCGUGUGGGAAGAAGGCUUUAGGGUUGUAAACCACUUUCAAUUGGGAAGAAGAGAUGGGCGUUAAUAACGCUCUGAUUUGACGGUACCUUUAGAAGAAGCACCGGCUAAUUUCGUGCCAGCAGCCGCGGUAAUACGAAAGGUGCAAGCGUUGUUCGGAUUUACUGGGCGUAAAGAGAUCGUAGGUGGUUUGUUAAGUUGGAUGUGAAAUCCCGGGGCUCAACCUCGGAACUGCAUCCAAAACUGACGGACUUGAGUUUGGGAGGGGUAAGCGGAAUUCCGUGUGUAGCAGUGAAAUGCGUAGAUAUACGGAGGAACACCUGAGGCGAAGGCGGCUUACUGGACCAAUACUGACACUGAGGAUCGAAAGCGUGGGUAGCAAACAGGAUUAGAUACCCUGGUAGUCCACGCCCUAAACGAUGUCAACUAGCCGUUGCGGGUAUCGACCCCUGCAGUGGCGCAGCUAACGCGAUAAGUUGACCGCCUGGGGAGUACGGU